This 447-nucleotide ribosomal RNA is filed under the name uncultured bacterium. RNAcentral describes it as "bacterial SSU rRNA". It matches the Rfam family "Bacterial small subunit ribosomal RNA", at positions 355 to 825 of the family's 1533-position model. The record is from RNAcentral.
UCGGGAAUUUUGGGCAAUGGGCGAAAGCCUGACCCAGCAACGCCGCGUGAAGGAUGAAGUAUUUCGGUAUGUAAACUUCGAAAGAAUAGGAAGAAUAAAUGACGGUACUAUUUAUAAGGUCCGGCUAACUACGUGCCAGCAGCCGCGGUAAUACGUAGGGACCAAGCGUUGUUCGGAUUUACUGGGCGUAAAGGGCGCGUAGGCGGCUUGACAAGUCACUUGUGAAAUCUCUGGGCUUAACCCAGAACGGCCAAGUGAAACUGUCAUGCUAGAGUGCAGAAGGGGCAAUCGGAAUUCUUGGUGUAGCGGUGAAAUGCGUAGAUAUCAAGAGGAACACCUGAGGUGAAGACGAGUUGCUGGGCUGACACUGACGCUGAGGCGCGAAAGCCAGGGGAGCAAACGGGAUUAGAUACCCUAGUAGUCCCUGAGCGGGCUGGCAAGGCGCAU